This 890-nucleotide ribosomal RNA is filed under the name uncultured Gracilibacillus sp. RNAcentral describes it as "bacterial SSU rRNA". It matches the Rfam family "Bacterial small subunit ribosomal RNA", at positions 62 to 918 of the family's 1533-position model. Lineage: Bacteria; Bacillati; Bacillota; Bacilli; Caryophanales; Bacillaceae. The record is from RNAcentral.
UCGAGCGCGGGAAGCUGACUGAAUCCUUCGGGAGGACGUGAGUGGAACGAGCGGCGGACGGGUGAGUAACACGUGGGCAACCUGCCUGUAAGACUGGGAUAACUCCGGGAAACCGGGGCUAAUACCGGAUAGUACUUUGGUUCAUAGGAACCGAAGUGGAAAGGUGGCGCAAGCUACCACUUACAGAUGGGCCCGCGGUGCAUUAGCUAGUUGGUGAGGUAACGGCUCACCAAGGCAACGAUGCAUAGCCGACCUGAGAGGGUGAUCGGCCACACUGGGACUGAGACACGGCCCAGACUCCUACGGGAGGCAGCAGUAGGGAAUCUUCCGCAAUGGACGAAAGUCUGACGGAGCAACGCCGCGUGAACGAAGAAGGUUUUCGGAUCGUAAAGUUCUGUUGUUAGGGAAGAACAAGUACCGUUCGAAUAGGGCGGUACCUUGACGGUACCUAUCGAGGAAGCCCCGGCUAACUACGUGCCAGCAGCCGCGGUAAUACGUAGGGGGCAAGCGUUGUCCGGAAUUAUUGGGCGUAAAGCGCGCGUAGGCGGUUUCUUAAGUCUGAUGUGAAAUCUUGCGGCUCAACCGCAAGCGGUCAUUGGAAACUGGGGAACUUGAGUACAGAAGAGGAGAGCGGAAUUCCACGUGUAGCGGUGAAAUGCGUAGAGAUGUGGAGGAACACCAGUGGCGAAGGCGGCUCUCUGGUCUGUAACUGACGCUGAGGUGCGAAAGCGUGGGGAGCGAACAGGAUUAGAUACCCUGGUAGUCCACGCCGUAAACGAUGAGUGCUAGGUGUUAGGGGGUUUCCGCCCCUUAGUGCUGCAGUUAACGCAUUAAGCACUCCGCCUGGGGAGUACGGCCGCAAGGCUGAAACUCAAAAGAAUUUGACGGGG